This 1435-nucleotide ribosomal RNA is filed under the name uncultured bacterium. RNAcentral describes it as "bacterial SSU rRNA". It matches the Rfam family "Bacterial small subunit ribosomal RNA". The record is from RNAcentral.
CGCUGGCGGCAGGCUUAACACAUGCAAGUCGAGCGGUAACAGGAGAAGCUUGCUUCUCGCUGACGAGCGGCGGACGGGUGAGUAAUACUUAGGAAUCUGCCCGGUAGUGGGGGAUAGCUCGGGGAAACUCGAAUUAAUACCGCAUACACCCUACGGGGAAAAGGGGGCGCUUGCGCUCUCGCUAUUGGAUGAGCCUAAGUCGGAUUAGCUAGUUGGUGGGGUAAAGGCCUACCAAGGCGACGAUCUGUAGCUGGUCUGAGAGGAUGAUCAGCCACACCGGGACUGAGACACGGCCCGGACUCCUACGGGAGGCAGCAGUGGGGAAUAUUGGACAAUGGGGGCAACCCUGAUCCAGCCAUGCCGCGUGUGUGAAGAAGGCCUUUUGGUUGUAAAGCACUUUAAGCAGUGAAGAAGACCUAACGGUUAAUACCCGUUAGCGAUGACAUUAGCUGCAGAAUAAGCACCGGCUAACUCUGUGCCAGCAGCCGCGGUAAUACAGAGGGUGCAAGCGUUAAUCGGAAUUACUGGGCGUAAAGCGAGCGUAGGUGGCUUGAUAAGUCAGAUGUGAAAUCCCCGGGCUUAACCUGGGAACUGCAUCUGAUACUGUCAGGCUAGAGUAGGUGAGAGGGAGGUAGAAUUUCAGGUGUAGCGGUGAAAUGCGUAGAGAUCUGAAGGAAUACCGAUGGCGAAGGCAGCCUCCUGGCAUCAUACUGACACUGAGGUUCGAAAGCGUGGGUAGCAAACAGGAUUAGAUACCCUGGUAGUCCACGCCGUAAACGAUGUCUACUAGUCGUUGGGGAACUUGAUUCCUUAGUGACGCAGCUAACGCAAUAAGUAGACCGCCUGGGGAGUACGGCCGCAAGGUUAAAACUCAAAUGAAUUGACGGGGGCCCGCACAAGCGGUGGAGCAUGUGGUUUAAUUCGAUGCAACGCGAAGAACCUUACCUGGUCUUGACAUAUCUAGAAUCCUGCAGAGAUGCGGGAGUGCCUUCGGGAAUUAGAAUACAGGUGCUGCAUGGCUGUCGUCAGCUCGUGUCGUGAGAUGUUGGGUUAAGUCCCGCAACGAGCGCAACCCUUUUCCUUAGUUACCAGCGGUUUGGCCGGGGACUCUAAGGAUACUGCCAGUGACAAACUGGAGGAAGGCGGGGACGACGUCAAGUCAUCAUGGCCCUUACGACCAGGGCUACACACGUGCUACAAUGGUAGGUACAGAGGGCAGCUACACAGCGAUGUGAUGCGAAUCUCAAAAAGCCUAUCGUAGUCCAGAUUGGAGUCUGCAACUCGACUCCAUGAAGUAGGAAUCGCUAGUAAUCGCGGAUCAGAAUGCCGCGGUGAAUACGUUCCUGGGCCUUGUACACACCGCCCGUCACACCAUGGGAGUUGAUUGCACCAGAAGUGGGUAGCCUAACUUUUAGAGGGCGCUCACCACGGUGUG